AUAUACAAGAGUGGUAUUAUUUUCCUAAGGAUUAUGAUCUCUUAAAGCAGCGGAGGACCCAUUAGAGCCAUUUAGACACCAGGUGAACAUACGUCCCCAUAGUUCCAAGGUUACUAAGGAGUUCAUGGGAGUCCUCCAACACCUGUCUUUGUGAGAGAUGCAGUAAAUCCCACCCUGAUUAGUGCCUGCUGCCUUUUUUGUAUGGUCGAUCCCUCUCGAUAAUUGAAGAGAAUGUGGGGAUUGUUUUUCUAAGAACUGCAGUCCAACACAGUUAGUUAUGUGAAAGAAUUUACUUUGAUUCCAAGGUUCAAG
Non-coding RNA from Pelobates cultripes (western spadefoot toad), 312 nucleotides. The record is from the annotation of a GenBank genome assembly. Lineage: Eukaryota; Metazoa; Chordata; Amphibia; Anura; Pelobatidae.